This is a long non-coding RNA of Tupaia belangeri chinensis (Chinese tree shrew), 409 nucleotides long. RefSeq lists it as uncharacterized. NCBI's taxonomy places the organism in Eukaryota, Metazoa, Chordata, Mammalia, Scandentia, Tupaiidae. The record is from RefSeq and is a predicted model, not a curated record. The transcript is spliced from 3 exons.
UGUGGCCUGAGGCUCUGCGCCUCUCGGUUUGAAGCAAUAGUUAUCUUAGACUACAGCCUGGUUUCUAGAAAACUGCCUGGCUCGUGCAGGUGAAAUUCCUGAAGACUGAUUAAAAACAACCAUAAUGAUGAUAAUCUGUUACUCACUUUCUUUUUCCUUAUCUCUUCCUGAACGCCUGUAGAAAAGUCCUCCAACUGAAAUGCAAAGAAGAGAAGAGCAUAAAUUGGCACCAUGAGGAUCUAAUCAUCCAACCUACCCAACCUACCCUGGGGCAAACUCAAGACAGUGGCCCAAGUUUGUCAACAGAUUUGUUUUCAAGAAGGAAUCUGUAGGGAUGAGAAAGAUGACAUAUUUAUUAAACUGAAGAUAGUUACCCCAGCCUCCCAUGUAGAGAGGAAAUGAAGCAGUC